UACGGAAGGCAGCAGUGGGGAAUAUUGCACAAUGGGCGCAAGCCUGAUGCAGCCAUGCCGCGUGUAUGAAAAAGGCCUUCGGGUUGUAAAGUACUUUCAGUCGUGAGGAAGGUGUUAAGGUUAAUAACCUUAGCAAUUGACGUUAGCGACAGAAGAAGCACCGGCUAACUCCGUGCCAGCAGCCGCGGUAAUACGGAGGGUGCGAGCGUUAAUCGGAAUUACUGGGCGUAAAGGGCACGCAGGCGGUUAAUUAAGUUGGAUGUGAAAUCCCCGGGCUUAACCUGGGAAUGGCAUUCAAGCUGGUUAGCUAGAGUCUUGUAGAGGGGGUAGAAUUCCAUGUGUAGCGGUGAAAUGCGUAGAGAUGUGGAGGAAUACCGGUGGCGAAGGCGGCCCCUGGACAAAGGCUGACGCUCAUGUGCGAAAGCGUGGGGAGCGAAACAGGGAUUAGAUACC
This 453-nucleotide ribosomal RNA is filed under the name uncultured bacterium. Its description in RNAcentral is "bacterial SSU rRNA". It matches the Rfam family "Bacterial small subunit ribosomal RNA", at positions 340 to 786 of the family's 1533-position model. The record is from RNAcentral.